GGGCAGGGGGGCGGGGCGGCGGAGCUCGGCGGCUGGGCCUGGAGGACAGCGGCAGCAGAGGCGACGAGCGGUGGCGGGACCGGCGCCGAGAGGCCGUGCGGGACGCGGGCGCCAGGAAGGGAGGAGAACAGAGGUUGACUCUUCAUCACACUGAAACCAUUAGGAAAAAUCCUUGUGGUUAACAGCAGAGGCUUCAGAGUGUAACCUGUACUCGGGCCUAGAAAUUAUUUUAAAUGGCGACUGAUACGUCUCAAGGUGAACUCGUCCAUCCUAAGGCACUCCCACUUAUAGUAGGAGCUCAGCUGAUCCACGCGGACAAGUUAGGUGAGAAGGUAGAAGAUAGCACCAUGCCGAUUCGUCGAGCUGUGAAUUCUACCCGGGAAACUCCUCCCAAAAGCAAGCUUGCUGAAGGGGAAGAAGAAAAGCCAGAACCAGACAUAAGUUCGGAGGAAUCUGUCUCCACUGUAGAAGAACAAGAGAAUGAAACCCCACCUGCUACAUCUAGUGAGGCAGAGCAGCCAAAGGGAGAACCUGAGAAUGAA
This is a long non-coding RNA of Propithecus coquereli (Coquerel's sifaka), 542 nucleotides long. RefSeq lists it as uncharacterized. Lineage: Eukaryota; Metazoa; Chordata; Mammalia; Primates; Indriidae. The transcript is spliced from 4 exons. The record is from RefSeq and is a predicted model, not a curated record.